UACAAAUGAAUUGACGGGGCCCGCACAAGCGGAGGAACAUUGUGGUUAAUUCGAUGAUACGCGAGGAACCUUACCUGGGCUUAAAUGCAGAGUGCAUGGAGUGGAAACACUUCUUCCCUUCGGGGCUCUUUGCAAGGUGCUGCAUGGUUGUCGUCAGCUCGUGCCGUGAGGUGUCGGGUUAAGUCCCAUAACGAGCGCAACCCUUAUCGUUAGUUGCCAGCGGGUAAAGCCGGGAACUCUAGCGAAACUGCCGGUGUAAACCGAGAGGAAGGUGGGAUGACGUCAAAUCAGCACGGCCCUUAUGUCCAGGGCUACACACGUGUUACAAUGGCCGGUACAGAGGGCAGCUACCUGGAGACAGGAUGCGAAUCUCGAAAGCCGGUCUCAGUUCGGAUCGGAGUCUGCAACUCGACUCCGUGAAGCUGGAUUCGCUAGUAAUCGCGCAUCAGCCAUGGCGCGGUGAAUACGUUCCCGGGCCUU
This 480-nucleotide ribosomal RNA is filed under the name uncultured Sphingobacteriales bacterium. RNAcentral's name for it is "bacterial SSU rRNA". It matches the Rfam family "Bacterial small subunit ribosomal RNA", at positions 903 to 1382 of the family's 1533-position model. The record is from RNAcentral. Lineage: Bacteria; Pseudomonadati; Bacteroidota; Sphingobacteriia; Sphingobacteriales.